GACGAACGCUGGCGGCGUGCUUAACACAUGCAAGUCGAACGAGAAUCACCGGAAGGAGUUUUCGGACAACGGAAGGUGAGGACAGUGGCGGACGGGUGAGUAACGCGUGAGGAACCUGCCUUUCAGAGGGGGACAACAGUUGGAAACGACUGCUAAUACCGCAUAACGCAUUAGUAUCGCAUGGUACGGAUGCCAAAGAUUUAUCGCUGAAAGAUGGCCUCGCGUCUGAUAGCUGGUUGGUGAGGUAACGGCCCACCAAGGCGACGAUCAGUAGCCGGACUGAGAGGUUGACCGGCCACAUUGGGACUGAGAUACGGCCCAGACUCCUACGGGAGGCAGCAGUGGGGAAUAUUGGGCAAUGGGCGCAAGCCUGACCCUGCAACGCCGCGUGAAGGAAGAAGGCUUUCGGGUUGUAAUCUUCUUUUGUCAGGGACGAGGAGAAGACGGUACCUGACGAAUAAGCCACGGCUAACUACGUGCCAGCAGCCGCGGUAAUACGUAGGUGGCAAGCGUUGUCCGGAUUUACUGGGUGUAAAGGGCGUGUAGCCGGGUUGGCAAGUCAGAUGUGAAAUCUAUGGGCUUAACUCAUAAACUGCAUUUGAAACUGUUGAUCUUGAGUAUCGGAGAGGCAAUCGGAAUUCCUAGUGUAGCGGUGAAAUGCGUAGAUAUUAGGAGGAACACCAGUGGCGUAGGCGGAAAGCUGGACGACAACUGACGGUGAGGCGCG
RNAcentral lists this ribosomal RNA (727 nucleotides) under uncultured bacterium. Its description in RNAcentral is "bacterial SSU rRNA". It matches the Rfam family "Bacterial small subunit ribosomal RNA", at positions 28 to 755 of the family's 1533-position model. The record is from RNAcentral.